This 504-nucleotide ribosomal RNA is filed under the name uncultured bacterium. RNAcentral describes it as "partial 16S ribosomal RNA". It matches the Rfam family "Bacterial small subunit ribosomal RNA", at positions 29 to 523 of the family's 1533-position model. The record is from RNAcentral.
AUUGAACGCUGGCGGCAGGCCUAACACAUGCAAGUCGAACGGUAGCACAGAGAGCUUGCUCUCGGGUGACGAGUGGCGGACGGGUGAGUAAUGUCUGGGAAACUGCCCGAUGGAGGGGGAUAACUACUGGAAACGGUAGCUAAUACCGCAUAACGUCGCAAGACCAAAGUGGGGGACCUUCGGGCCUCACACCAUCGGAUGUGCCCAGAUGGGAUUAGCUAGUAGGUGGGGUAAUGGCUCACCUAGGCGACGAUCCCUAGCUGGUCUGAGAGGAUGGACAGCCACACUGGAACGGAGAAACGGUCCAGACUCCUACGGGAGGCAGCAGUGGGGGAUAUUGCACAAUGGGCGCAAGCCGGAUGCAGCCAUGCCGCGUGUAUGAAGAAGGCCUUCGGGUUGUAAAGUACUUUCAGCGGGGAGGAAGGCGGUGAAGUUAAUAGCUUCACUGAUUGACGUUACCCGCAGAAGAAGCACCGGCUGACUCCGUGCCAGCCGCCGCAGUAA